GACGAACGCUGGCGGCGUGCUUAACACAUGCAAGUCGAACGGUAAGGCCCUUCGGGGUACACGAGUGGCGAACGGGUGAGUAACACGUGGGUGAUCUGCCCUGCACUUCGGGAUAAGCCUGGGAAACUGGGUCUAAUACCGGAUAGGACCCUGGGAUGCAUGUCCUAGGGUGGAAAGCGUUUGCGGUGUGGGAUGGGCCCGCGGCCUAUCAGCUUGUUGGUGGGGUGAUGGCCUACCAAGGCGACGACGGGUAGCCGGCCUGAGAGGGGGACCGGCCACACUGGGACUGAGAUACGGCCCAGACUCCUACGGGAGGCAGCAGUGGGGAAUAUUGCACAAUGGGCGCAAGCCUGAUGCAGCGACGCCGCGUGAGAGAUGACGGCCUUCGGGUUGUAAACCUCUUUCAGCACCGACGAAGCGCAAGUGACGGUAGGUGCAGAAGAAGGACCGGCCAACUACGUGCCAGCAGCCGCCGUAA
RNAcentral lists this ribosomal RNA (478 nucleotides) under uncultured bacterium. RNAcentral's name for it is "partial 16S ribosomal RNA". It matches the Rfam family "Bacterial small subunit ribosomal RNA", at positions 28 to 523 of the family's 1533-position model. The record is from RNAcentral.